AAUCAUAACCUUUCCAAUGAUAUCUCACAUGACCCAUCUUGCAUAAAGCAUAUCUUAGUUAUGCCAUAUUCAUAUCAUAACAAUAUUUCUAUGAAGAAUAUGGGGUGUAACUUCACACUAAGCACCAACAACUCCAGUAAGGUCAAUAGGUGCUCAGCAUCUCUGAAAGUCAGGUCCAUGGUAUCUCUUGAGCACCCAAAAUAAGGGACCAUGUUGAGCUGAAAGUGGCUUGCAUAUUGCAGAGCUCCUCUACCUAAUCUCUGUAUUUAGAGUGCACCAGUCACCAUCGUAACUAUACACCAAGUGCUGGCAGUGGAACCCAGGUCUCCUGAUUCCCAUUCUUGAGCUGUAGUCACAAGACCAUUCUCAUAGCCCUCAGCCCCAAAACAUCCAUCCAUCCUGAGUAGAGCUAUGGGGCCAGAUUCUGUGCUCAGUUACACUGGUGAUGUGGUAGCCACCAGUCUGUGUGAUGGGUGUGUCUCUGAAUCCUCUCAUCUUUCAGGCUAAUGGCAGCCAAACCGGUGUCAGGGUUUAGCACCCCAGUCCGUCCUUCCAUAGCAGCUAGGCAGUCUUCUUGUUCUGCCUCUCACUGGAGUAGCCUAAGGUGGCAAAGGCCUGGUCUACGCUAAAAAGUUAGGUGAACCCAGUUAUGUUGCUCUGCGGUGUGAAAAAUUCACACUCCUGUGCAUGUAGUUAAGUUUACCUAACCCCCGGUGUAGAUGGCACUAUGCUGUUGAAAUAAUUAUUCUAUUGACCUAGCUACAGCCUCUUGGGGAGAGGUGGAUUACCUACACCACUCGGAGAACCCAUCCUGUCAGUGUAGCAGUGUCUACUGAAGCACUACAGUGGCGUAGCUGCAGCGUUUCAAGUGUCGAAGUCCAUGGCCUCUCUGAGGCACCAUGUUGCACAAGCCCUCAUGGAGCAGAAGAAAGCAAAAGAAGAUAGCUAAGAAGCCGGGCAGGGAGAUCAGACAGUGCCUCCCCACUCCUGUCUCCAUUGCAGACCCAUUCUAGGAGCAGUGUCUGCUUCCUUCACUACUUUGUGUGAUGACAAGGUGCUAGCAUUGUGCUUUUGCAGCUCCCCACCUGUACUGAGGAUUAAUGAGCAGCAGGUCAUUUGGAGGAACAGGACGUUUGGGAAGACCCAGUGGGCUCACACAGAGGAGCAGUCCCAGGAUGGGAGUUUAAUGGAGAUAGGAGGCAUGUAGUUCCUCCCAGCUUCAUCUGCCUUCUCCUCUGGGAUGGAUCUUCUUUCUCCCCUCUGCUUCCUGCUGGCUGGCAGCUGAGUUCUAGUCUCUGCUCCUAAGGCAGCUCAGUGCUGUUGUACAUGAUGUCACUCAGCCUGCUCCUAGGCUCCAUCAGGCUGAAAACCUGGUGCUUUCACUUGCCCAGAGAGCCCUUGGGCUUCUGGGCAUCAAGUCUUUUCCAAGCCUGCAGCAAUGUAACUGAGACCAGAACCUGAUGUGCAGUUUUGUCAUGGCCAUUUAUGGGGAAAGGCAUGGAACCACAGCUGGCAAAAUACUUGUGGGAAGCCCUAGGUGUGACUUGGUAAGCCAGGUAGCGUCUUCUGCCCAUUCUAUUGUGGCUAGCAAGACUAGUACACAUGCAUUUACUGAGAGGGAGAGGGAAUUCCCAGAUAUCCAGCAUGUUCCUCUCUCUAAAUUUCUAUACUACACAGAGAAAAUUCUUUUGAAAGAAUGGAAGCUUCUCAGCAAGGCAGCAUCAGAAGGAAGGUUUCUUAAUGCUGUAUGACAGCACAGCAGCAGGAGAGGGCUGGAGUAGGAAACACCAUUUCAAUCAGUCUGUUCUUCCCCCUUUUCUCCCUGUUCACAAAUCCCACAGAAUUUAGUAUCCAGUUCAAAUGUAGAAAGAAAGCAUGGGGCAAAUCACUUCUCAGCCACAACAGCGGAGAGAAUCUGGCCCAGCUGCUCCCCCCGAAUUAGAAAGAAAAGUAUUGUAUCCUAACAGAGUUAGGCAAUUGCAAGCUCCCUUAUAUCUUGUUUAGGGCAAUGCUAGGGAGAGCCCAUAUGUCAGGUUGCUGAACCAUGGGAAGCUGAGCAGGAAAUGAGUCUCUCUCUGUGUAAGAGUUUGCUGGGAAGCGUGAGCACUGCACACUACCCCGCAGCAUUGUCCUGGGUUAGUGUCAGGGAAAAGCAGGUUCCUUUCAAACUUUUCUGCAGUGAAGGCUUGUCUGUGCAUAGAGUUGUGAUCUAGGGAUGGCUUGGUGCCACGAAACAGAGAGCACAGGGGUGCAUAAGGGUCACAGGGAUCCCCUGGGUCUGUCUUACGUAUUCACCAAAGAGCAUCGUGUAAGGACUUUAAUGAAAGCGUCUGUCACACUAGUCCUCAUAAUCCUUGAGAAGUGUGUGUAGGGAUAAUAGGUAAGGAGGUGUGUGUGUGUGUGUGUGUGUGUAUACACACACACACUGAAAAUUAUGUUCCUAUGGUCUGUGACUUGGGGCUGGUCACCAGAAAAGGUGAGAAACAGGGCAAGAGAUGUUUAUCUACCUGUCUGUUUACAUGUAAAUUGAAUAUUGUAUGUUUCACAAUGGGUACCCAGUUACAGUCUGAGCACAGUGCUAAUCAAGUGAUUGCAGUUUCCCGGGGAGACCCUGGACAGGAAAACCCCAGCAGUGGGGGCUAGCUUCUUGACAAGUGCAAACAGUGGAGGUUCGGGCUAUAACUGUAGAGACAAAGGCUUGUUUACACUUGAAGCACUGCAGCUGCACUGCUGUAGUGCUUCUAUGUAGACAGCGCUUAUACCAAUGGAAGAAUCCUUUCCAUCAACCCAUUGUUACCUAUGCCGGGGAUUAGUCAGUUUAUCUGUGUCUCAGGGCCUGGAUUUUUCAUGGAUUUCAUGGAUUUUAGCCCUGAGAGCUGUGGCUAUGAGGAUGUAACUUUUCAGUGUAGACCGUCCCAGAGAGAAACUGCAUCUUUCACUUGAGAAGUAAGCUGCCAGUGGGCUUGCUUCACAAGUAGAAGAUCACAGCUAAUGGCUGGUCUACACUGGGAACGUACAUAGACGAGGUGGUGGUGGCGGCGGCAAGGUGCCCCUCAGCCCUAGGAAGCGUUACAGUUGUUCCUGAUUAAUUCCAUGAAUGGAUGCCCUUAUGCCAAUAUAAGAGUGCCUUGGUCCUCUUUGGCUUAGCUGACUUUGAAAGUGUGAUUCUAAGGAAGUUCCAACUGGGGUGUGUAAAAAAGGAAAUCAGACGGAGUGGGUACUAGUCAGACAUCCGCACUGGUCUGUCUGCCUGGUCCCUCUAGCUUUUUGCAUUAGGUUCCACACUCACCUUUUGAUUUCCUUUGACCAUUAGCGUGAAUUUGGCACUGGCCAAAGAUGCCAGUCUGAUGCCCCCUGUCAAGGAAAUCCUCUAAUGUACAGGAGGGGUGAACCCUAGGCAGAGGCAGUACAGGCUCCCUAUGCUGCCCUCCAGCAGGGCUUGCUGCUCAGGGUUGAGAGGACAGUGCAUUUUCCAUGUCUGUCUUGUGUCUAGCUUCCAUUUUGGUGGUGGGUUUGUGAUGGGAUGAGUCCACUUGCCCUCUGGGAUACAGCCUGAGACCACCAAACUGAGUUCAUAUAGGCAUUGAAAAGCCAUCAGGUGGGAAUGGCUCUUGGUCUCUCUGAGCUGUCUUUGACCUUAACAAUAAUAGUUAGUUUUCAGUAGUGCCCAAAAUGUGCUAGGCACUUUCCAAACAGAGGAGGACACUGCUCCUGCCCUGAACGCAUGCAGUCUAAAAAUGUGCCCUAGAUGGGAAAGGCAGCCUCUGUGUUCUGUUACUGAUCCCCCAAGCCAGCCAAACCCUCCACCUCUGUGAUCCCCUGAGGAGCAAUCCGUAUGUUUUAUUUAGUUUUGGUGGAUAACAGCGGGAGAGUGAUCUAGCAGUUAAAACAGAAGGGCUUGGUUUUGAAUCUAGCUUGCAGCCAGCUCCCCAUGUCUGAUGUUGAACAAAAUGCUUCCUUGUGCUUCAGUUAGUCAGACUGUAAAACAAUGGGUUUACAACAGCAAAAUCCAAAUUUGCUGAACACCAGAUCCAAAAUGGAGCAAGCUUUGCUGCGUAAACAAGUCACAGUAGCAAUCAUGCAUUUUUACAGAUGGGUUCCGGAACUGGAGUUUUUGGUAAUUUGCAUAGAGCCAGUGACUUCUUUCAUUGUUCCUGUACUGCUGCUGAGGUGCAUGGUGCUUUACAGGAACAAACACGAAGACACAGUCCCUGCCCUGAAGAGAUUACAGUCUAGGUUAUCAAAACAAGAGAACAGCAGAGUUUUGACAAAUUCUGGCCCAUUUAGAAUCUGUUGCAUGUUUUCUUCCUGUUUGUCUGUGUGUGGAAAAAGCUCCAAAGAGAAAAUCCAGCAGAUCAUUCAAAGGCUGUGCAUGAAUUUUUAAAACUGAAAUGGGAGCCUUGAUCACUAGCCAGAUACAUUUUUUCCCCCUGACUGAGGUUUUGAGAUGAGCAGACAAUGGGGUAACUUGAUGUGAGUAAAACCCAUUAAUGUUCAUGGCUAGGCUGCCGGUGGUGAUUAAUGUGUUCUAAUGGUCUCUGACUCUGUGAUUCAAAGAAUACUUAGCAGCCGGAACACACACUAGUCAGUAGCUUCUGCACCAAACUGUGCUGCAGUGCAGGUUACUACAUGGUUAGAGCAGGGCAUGCAAACCCAAGCGCACAGAGCACAAGCUGGGGCUGGGGAGUUGAGGCAGGAUUAUUCUGGGGGUAAGGCACUAGAUGGGGUGCUGGAGAUCAAGGUACAAUUCCCAUCUCUGCCACAGGCUCACUGUGUGACUUUGGACAAGUCACUUAUUCACUCUCUGCAUCAGUUUCCCAUCUGUAAAAUGGGGUAAUUUUGCCUUACCUCACAGGGGUGUUGUUAGAUAAAUCCACUAAUGCUUUUGAGGUGUGUGGAUACUGUGGAUGUGGGGGCCAUCUGAAGAGAGCGGGAGAUAAAGGGAUUGUAAAAGUAAUUUUGCUCCCUUGAUCUUGCUGCUACUGAUUCUCCUGCCUCAGGGCUGCUGUCACAGCCGAGUGGGGCUAAAAAUGCAGCGGAGGAUCAGCAUAGUGCAGGGUUGCCUUGGCCACAUCCCACUCUUCCAAGCCUGCUGCUGAGGGUGAGGUGGGUGGGGCCAAGGCACCCUGGCACUGUGGAGUUAAAAGGCAAAAAUUGGGUCUGUGCCAUUUAAGGGUACCCUUAGGCCAUUUCUAAACACCAAAACUGCACCACUUUAACUUAAAUCAAGUUUCAGACCAGUUCAUUUAAACUGGUGCAAAAUCCCGUGUCAGUGUUCUUAUUUCAGUUUGAGUGGCUUAUUGGCUUAGUUUAAACAAGACAGGUUUAUAACCAAGUUGAAAUUGAUUUGAAGUGUACACGCCACUUUUGCACUAGUUUUACGAAAUCAGUUUAAAAUCACACCUUCGUUUUACGUGCUGCAGCUUUGUGCAUAGACCACGGCUUGUUCUGGCUCUAGGGACACGUUUUGUCAAUGAUGCAGCAUAAUUUGGUCAUCAGAGAAUCUGUAGGGAACCUGGGAUAGUUCAUUCCGAACACACAAGCCUGCUUUCUGUAAUUUAGCGUGUGAUAUGUACGGUCUGUGACAGUAAGAUAUGUACGGUGACGUGAAAGCUUUCAUGAAUCAUUAAAAGUUCAUUAGAACCUGUCAGCUGCUGCUAGAUAAUGAACUGUCACAAGUAUGAGGCAUUUUACUGUGUCGCAGAGAUGUUCAGUGUGAUUGAAAUUGACCGCAGAGUUCUCGCUGUGCCUGGACCCCUCUCAGUGACAGGAAAGCUGCUUAGAUUUUGGUGUUAAUGAUGAUUCCAUGGUACGUUAAGGGCCUGAUCCCAAGAGAUCUCAGCUGCUAUUUACUUCAAGUGUGGGUGCUGGGCACCUCUCAGAAUCAAGUCCUAAAUAAAAAAAGUGCUUUUUUUUUUUUUUUUUUUUAAAAGUCCCAUUUCUGUUCCCACUGAACUCAAAUGCAAAUCUUGCAUAGAGUUCAGUUGGAGCAGUAUUAGGCCCUGAAGGGGGAGCCUGAUCUGAGCAGCAGAGAGGAAGCCAGGAAUCUUUAGAUUGUGAAACUCCCUUUUGAGCUGUAUGUAAGUGCCUGAGAGACUUUAGUUACUGGGAUACGGAUGCAGAAUUCUGUUUCAGGCAAGCUAAUAGAAUGCCUGAAGGGGCAAGUUGCCAGAUGGGGAACAAUCCUGCCAGUAGAUCUGGUGGUGUGUAGGUACUACAUUUGUGCCUCCAUCUCACUGGAAAUCAUUGGAUAAAGAGACAGAGGGACCCCUGACUAAGUCACUACACUUAUUGGGCUAACCCGUUAGAUAUUUCCAUGCACUCCCUUUGUUCUGCCCAGGGCCCGAGGAAAAGGAUGUGUGUUCUGACAAUCCAUGGCAGGGCCAUUGACAACUGAGAGAGUCUCCUAAUCUCCAGAAAGGCACAGUAUGUGGCAGGGAAAAGAGCAUGCUGGCAGAUGGGCUGAGCAGAGCCACUAUCCUGCCAGGAGUAAAGCCUUUAAAACAGGACGCCUUGUCAUGGCAGAGAAACAGGGUCAUCCUGUUAUCCACCAAAGGAAAUGACCCCAGACCGCACCUUACUGAUGGACGGGAAUCCAGGUACAGUCCUUCUGCCUCCCAGUGGGGAAAUUCCUCUUCUUAAUGCAGAAGGACCUAAUGAGAAAAAAAGAAAAUCAAUGAAGCUCAGGUCUGGGGGUGAAGAAUGGUCUUAUGGUUAAGGCAUGGGAUUGAGAGACUGGUUCUAUUCCUCGUCCUGAAUAGGCUUCCCAUACAGCCGUGCCUCAGUUUCCCCACAUGGGCAUUGUGUAAAAUGUUCUGUAGUACAUUCCAGAAGAUCUCAAAAGUACAAAAUAUUGUUAUUCAUCAGCUGCUUUUUGGUUGUGAUUCACUGAUUAUGCCCAGUUAUCACCUUUUCCAUCUCCCUUCGGUAGCGCACCACCUUCAUCUCCAUGAUGCUGCUGGCUAAGAUCUAGUUAUAUGUCUCUUGUGACUUGUAAACCAAACUUUGUACUUUUGGAUAAUCUAAGCACUAUAUCCAGAUGUACAGACACUCUUUCUUUAACCUGUUUAGUACAUCAUUUUAACGUUAACUUUAAUAAAAAUUUUAAAAUCUGAACCUUCCUGCACUGGAGAGAGUCCAUCCUGCACGUGCAGUGGGGUUGGAUGAACAGGUCUAGUCAGUGCUACAGUGACCAAGGCCAGGCACCGUGGCCUUCAACAAACGGCUCAUCUAUUUGCCUCAGAUUCCCCCUCCUACAAAAAGGCAAAGAGUACUUUUCCAUAUACCUCUCUCGGGCAUUGAAUGUCUGUGCAAUGUAUCCUGUGCCAAGUGGUGUGAUGGUAAGUAUCUCUUAGCAAUCUAUGGGCAAAUACUUUAGAAUGAAUGUAAGCUCCUUGGAGCAAGGACUGCACUGCCUGCUUCUGUGUUUGUGCAUUGCCUAGUGUGUUGCGGGAAACAAGUAAUAACCACUAAUUAACAGUAAUUAAGGGGAAAAAAAGUUGAUACACCUAUUUCCUGACUUCUAGCCCCAUUUAUCUGGCACAUAAAAGGAACUUCAUGGAAAAAUACCAUGCCAUUGUAUUUUUUUUUUUUUUUUUAGACCAUAAACACAAUAUCCAUGCUCAUGAGUUAUUAAUGAGUCAUUUCAUCCAAGAGGCCACAAAGGCAUCUGUUAGGCCAGCACAUAAUCAGGCAGUUCUUUAAAGAGCAUAUGAUGUACCCAGUAGACUGAAAUAGCUCAAAGGGUAAAAUUCUGUGUUCAGGGAAUUGUUUGUUUUUCUUAAUGCAAUUUAAGCAAUUUUAAAGGUCUGGAGGAAAUCAUCGAAAGUUAGGAAUGCAUGAUGACUGCUGACGCCUAAUGAUGCACAAAGCCUGAACUUUUACUUUCAGCUGAUGAAAGUCAGGAAAGGCAAACCUUGAACUCUAUUAAAACAAAAGAAAGGCAAUCUUCAAAGAACCUAUUAAAAGAAUCAACAGUUUCCAAAUAAAUAAUACAGACAUACCA
Chelonia mydas (Green sea turtle) is the source of this 8005-nucleotide long non-coding RNA. RefSeq lists it as uncharacterized. The record is from RefSeq and is a predicted model, not a curated record. NCBI's taxonomy places the organism in Eukaryota, Metazoa, Chordata, Testudines, Cheloniidae. The transcript is spliced from 2 exons.